RNAcentral lists this ribosomal RNA (138 nucleotides) under Abyssorchomene sp. '1143-2'. Its description in RNAcentral is "partial 16S large subunit ribosomal RNA". The record is from RNAcentral. Lineage: Eukaryota; Metazoa; Arthropoda; Malacostraca; Amphipoda; Lysianassidae.
AAAAGCUUUAUUUUAUUUAAAUAUUUAUAUUUCUAUUAAAUAAUUUUACUGGGGUAGUGACUUUUGAUAUAUCGAAGUUUGGUAAACAUUAAAGUGGGGUUAGUUCUUAUAUAUAAUAAAAAAUUGAUUAAGUUACUU